AGAACACCCCACUAAGUUUUUGGGAGUUCUUAUUUUCGUCGCUGAAAUUUUGUUGAUUCGCGACUAUUUUGAGUCAGAGUGGUGUUGGAAUUCGUCACGUCCAUGCUCGAGUUCCAGUCGCUGCAUAGAACCAGAUUUUAUUCCUCUCUCAAAUGCAAAUCAAUCGGCAAGUGGACAAAGUGGUUUUUUAGAAUUUAACUAUGAGAGGGCAAUGAGAAGGUGAAAUUUGUUUUUCUGAAAGCCAUCACCCAUUUGUACGUGGUAUUACAGGAAACAAAAAUGUUUCAAACUCCAUUAGUCUAAAGGAUCUCUCUCAAUACUUUCUAUUCACAUUAACUUUCCAAGCUUGUUCACGAAUUGUUCCUGUAAUUUUCAGGUUUUCGAUGAAGAUGGUAUGUAGUGAUACUGAAGAAUCACUUUAACUCGAUUGUUUAUCAGACAUGACAUUUGAGAACCUCGAGGAAGGUUAAGCAAGAAAAUUUUAUAUGAAGAAUGUCUGAGAUGCUGUUUAUCAAGAUUUUAUUAUCCAACUCCCCGGUGUUGGAGAGAACGCUAAUAGAUUGAUAGUUUCUUGAUCAAGAAUUUCGUGACACAAGAUUAUAACUUUUCAUUGAAAUCUCAAAUUUUUUCUUGUGCAUUACGUAGAGCAAAAAUUGUCUAUAUAGAUUUAAGAUGAUCUCAAUCUUUUGCUUAGAAGUUUAAACUCAAACGGGAGAAAGAGAUGUUGAUUUAGUAUUAUCAAAAGUGAUUCUGCGCAA
Molecule: long non-coding RNA, 758 nt
Organism: Solanum pennellii
Lineage: Eukaryota; Viridiplantae; Streptophyta; Magnoliopsida; Solanales; Solanaceae
Exons: 4
Source: RefSeq, a predicted model, not a curated record